This is a long non-coding RNA of Tripterygium wilfordii, 393 nucleotides long. RefSeq lists it as uncharacterized. The transcript is spliced from 3 exons. The record is from RefSeq and is a predicted model, not a curated record. Lineage: Eukaryota; Viridiplantae; Streptophyta; Magnoliopsida; Celastrales; Celastraceae.
CUCUUUUAUAUUAGCAUAUAUUUGUGUACUAACAAAACUGUUUUUAUCUCUCCUUAACAUAUUUUCACUGAAUGGAGGAAGAAACAAGGAAGUUAACAGGAGCAAGGGAGAAGGUUGUCGACAGGUCAAACAACGGGAUUCAAAACACUAGAAGAUGAGUUGGGGCAUAAAGGUUAUGGAAGUGAGACCUGUGAUAGAUUGGGACAAAGGUCAUGCCCUGGAAUACUUUCUGGAGACUCUUGGGCUUAAUAAUGCCAGAUUGCCAGUGAUGUUCUUCCAAUGUACAUUGAAGAUGACAAAACUCAAGGUUGUGAUUUUUGACUGCGAAAACUCAACAUUGGCAUAUGUGAUUCUUUUAUACCUUCUAAAUUUGUAAGUCUACAGAAAAAUACA